Molecule: non-coding RNA, 134 nt
Organism: Triticum aestivum (bread wheat)
Lineage: Eukaryota; Viridiplantae; Streptophyta; Magnoliopsida; Poales; Poaceae
Source: Rfam
UAUGUAUUCCUCUGUCCCAAAAUUCUUGUCUUAAAUUUGUCUAAAUACGGAUGUAUCAAGUCACAUUUUAGUAUUAGAUACAUCCGUAUCUAGACAAAUCUAAGACAAGAAUUUUGGGACGGAGGGAGUAUUUU